AGCUUGGCUGAGGUGCUAGAACCUCAGUUCUUGUUAGACUUCGCGAGGAGAGGUAUCGUUGCUAUUGUGUGUCGCUCGCUAUUUUUCCGUAGCGGCGGCGGCCUGAAAAUAAGGAGAGUUCGAACAGAAGAGGGUCGCGGUCAGGAGUGUACUGUCAAAAUAUUAUGGACGAUCAGAGCAGAAUGAUGCACCCUGUGACUUCUCAAGUCGGAAUGAUGCCCCAGCCUUAUGGCAUGCAACCUGUGGAUCCAAAUCACGGUGGACCAACAACGCCAGACCAAGAAACUAGGAAACAAGAUAUUGGCGAAAUUUUGCAGCAGAUAAUGAAUAUCACGGACCAGUCGUUGGACGAAGCGCAGGCCAGGAAACACACACUUAACUGUCACCGUAUGAAGCCAGCUCUCUUCAGUGUUUUGUGCGAAAUAAAGGAAAAAACAGUGCUGAGCCUGCGGAACACGCAGGAGGAAGAGCCGCCGGACCCGCAGCUGAUGCGGCUGGACAACAUGCUGAUCGCGGAGGGCGUGGCCGGCCCCGAGAAGGGCGGCGGUGCGGGGGCGGCGGCUAGUGCGUCGGCGGCGGCGUCGGGCGGGCCCGGCCAGCCGGACAACGCCAUCGAGCACUCCGACUACCGCGCCAAGCUCGCGCAGAUCCGCCAGAUCUACCACCAAGAGCUCGAGAAGUACGAGCAGGCGUGUAACGAGUUCACGACGCACGUGAUGAAUCUCCUGAGGGAGCAGUCGCGCACACGGCCCAUCACGCCCAAGGAGAUCGAGCGCAUGGUGCAGAUCAUCCACAAGAAGUUCUCUUCCAUCCAAAUGCAGCUCAAGCAGAGCACCUGCGAGGCCGUCAUGAUCUUGCGCUCCAGGUUCCUCGACGCCAGGAGGAAGAGAAGAAACUUUAGCAAACAGGCUUCUGAAAUCCUGAAUGAGUAUUUUUAUUCACACUUAAGCAAUCCUUACCCAUCUGAAGAGGCAAAGGAAGAGCUUGCAAGGAAAUGUGGAAUAACAGUUUCACAGGUAUCCAACUGGUUUGGAAACAAGAGAAUUCGUUACAAGAAAAACAUUGGAAAAGCACAAGAGGAAGCCAACUUAUAUGCAGCAAAGAAAGCUGCUGGUGCCUCUCCAUAUACCAUGGGUCCAGCACCUCAAGGGACGCCGACUCCAAUGAUGUCCCCUGCUCCUCCUGGCGGCCCCCAAGACAGCAUGGGGUAUAAUAUGAAUAUGAAUGGUGGAGAUUACAAUUCCUCAAUGUCAGGUUCACAGCCACCUUAUGCAGAUGGAGGAAUGGGCUAUGAUCCAAUGCACCAGGUACACCAAUGAACUGUCGAGAACAAGAUGGAAAGCACACCCACCACAACAGCCACAACCACCCAGGCCUUCGCUGGAUUUGUGUAGGCGUGUGUGCGUGCGUGUGUUGGUUCUAAUGCUAAUUCUCGAUCAGAGUUUUCUUAAGAAAAUAUAGUGAAGUGUUUUAAGAACAAAAUUUCUUAGUCUAAUUUUCUUCGUUCCCUGUUUUUGUGUGUGAGGCUCAUGUGAAUAUUCAUUGUAGGACAAGAUAUUAGUGACACAUACAAUCUCAGUGAGAUAUGGAUGUUAAGAAGAAGAACAGCACAUACUCAUAAAACAUUUAAGUACCGUUUCUGCAUAGGCAAGGUUCAAUUUUAUCCCAGAGUAAAGACCUCAAGAGUAUGUACAGUACUGGAAAUAUGGGAUGAAUUGUUUUAUUCAUGAGAAUGUUAUUGGAAAAGAAACUUGCUGUUUAGAAGCCGGUGUUGAGAUCAGACGUGUGUUCUACUAUGCGCCUUAGUUUUGUGGAGCAUAGAACUGAGAAGUUAUUGAGAUCCACCACACAGCAAUAAAUCAGUAUACGAAUAAAUUAAUAAGUAUCAAAUAAUGUAGCAGAAAAUUUAUUUUUAUAGCAUUUUCUUCAACUUUGUGAAAAUGUUUUUGAGUAAAAAAAGAACUGUAAUUUUGAAUUUUGGAGUGGCGUGCGAUUGAAGGCAUAGCUAUCAAGGAAGAGCUAAGCUGAGCGGUCAUCAAGAGUGCCUCACAAUACGUCCUCAGUAGUCACACAAGGUGGCCACGUCACCCCCAAGUCCGGCUCGCCUGUGCGACCUGGCUCUGUAGGGUGGAGUGGGCCUCCGCCUAGGGAGCAGAUUCCAGACUUCCCUCCUGUGCAGCCACUGCAUCCUGAUGACGAUGAAAGCGGUG
RNAcentral lists this unclassified non-coding RNA (2210 nucleotides) under Schistocerca americana (American grasshopper). Its description in RNAcentral is "homeobox protein extradenticle, transcript variant X1". The record is from RNAcentral. Lineage: Eukaryota; Metazoa; Arthropoda; Insecta; Orthoptera; Acrididae.